This 1527-nucleotide long non-coding RNA is filed under the name Homo sapiens (human). RNAcentral describes it as "HSALNT0040042". Lineage: Eukaryota; Metazoa; Chordata; Mammalia; Primates; Hominidae. The record is from RNAcentral.
CCAAAUUCAAACGGUAGUAGCCAGCCCUCCGCCAGAGAAAGGCAACGACAUUGCCAAUUCUUUGCGAGGAUUCUGGGAGCAGUAACCUUGGAGCUCUGUGUAGGCGGCCAGGCUUCCGCUACAGGAGGGCGUGGCUGUGACGAUUAUCUCAUUGGGGAUUCUGGGGUUAUAAUACAGGAAUUGUGGGUAAGUACAGUCACUUCUGCUCCAUGAAAGUGAGGUCAUCAUUCGUUUCAGGAAGUUGAGUGAGGCCUGAGACAGCAAUGUUUCGUUUAGCCUGGCGGUGGCCCUCCUUGUCUUCAAGAAGAGCAUCCGUGGCUAGCAGUGGAAGAUGGGGUUGGGCCCCAGAUGGUCACAGGAAUGAGGAAAGAAUGACUCUGGCUCCUAGCAGCAGAAUCUUAACUGAGUAUGACUUAGCAUCCUUCUUCUUGCUGUGUCAUCUCUCUUCUCAGGGCAGAAGAUAUUUACUAAUUAGCACAUUCUGCUAGCACAUCUGUGGGAAAAGAGACGCGAUCUUACUGCAUUGACCAGGAUGGUCUCAAACUCCUGGCUACAGGCUAUCCUCCUGCCUCUGUCUCCCAAAGCGCUGGGAUUACAAGCGUGAGCCACCAGGCCUGGCCCAAUUGCUUCUUAACAACUUACUAUUCUUUGUUCACUACAGUGUAUACAUAACUGACUUUUUAUUUGGAUCUUCAUUUUGUAAUGAAGGCUCUGGUCACAUGUAAGACUUGUAUUAAAUAAAUUUGCCUGCUGUUCUGUUAAUCUGUGUUAUGCUAAUUUAAUUCUUGAGCCCAGCUGGGUCCUGGAGAGGAUAGAGUGAAAUUUUGUGGCAGCUACGUAAGUCAAUGAAAUUGGAAACAGAAAAACAAUCUUUAAAAAUCAAUAAAAUCAUAAACUUAUUCUUUGAGAAGAUCAAUAUAGUUUAUAAACCUUUCAACUGACUCACCCACAGGGAAAAAGAAGAAAACAAAAAUCAGGAGGGAGGGAAUGUUAUUACAAAUUUUGCGGAUAUUAAAAGGAUUAUAAGGGAACAUUACAAACAACUCCUUGUCCAUAAAUUGAUCAAUUUACAUGACAUGGAAUAUUACUUGAAAGGCACAAACUACCAAAGCUCACUCAGGAAGAAUGGAUAACCUAGAUACUUGCGUGUAUGUAUGUGUGUGCAUACAUACAAUUUUUACACACACACACACACACACACAUAUAUAUAUAUAUAUGCACAGUUAAUUUUUUCUAUCUUUUGUAGAGAUGGGUUUUUACCAUGUUGCCUGGGCUGGUCUUGAACUCCUGGGCUCAAGCGCUCUGCCCACCUUGGCCUCCCAAAGUGCUGGGAUUACAGGCUUGAAACACUGCACCUGCCUGGCCUGAUAUAUAUUUCAAAACUGAUUUAAUAGAUAAAGCCUUCCAACAACAACAAUAAAAAAAACAAUAUUGAGAUGAAUUCAUUGGUGGAUUCUACUAAACAUUUAAAGAGUAAAGAUGUGAAUUUUAAAUAAACCCAGAAACAAAAAGAGAAGGGAACACCCA